GCAAAAAGAAGUUAGUGUGCCUGCAGCAGAGUGAGCAAGGGAAAGCCAGAACAACCGAGUCGGGGAGCAAUUGGAGCCCUUCAGACCAGAGAUGACAGUGGCCGGGACCGGGGCAGAAGCCGGGGGACCUGAUAAGAAGAGUCUGUGCUCUGGAUUUGGGUUGCGGGCACAGUUCACAGGUUUCCAAUGAACUGGCUCUUGGCUGUGACAGAUGACUCCAAGGGGCAAGCGACACAUGGAGGUUACAGCUUUUAAGGAUUUUUACUAGGGCCGUACCUCUCAGGAGGAGAGGAGGCAGCCAAGAGAAGCCAUGUUGUAACAUGGAGAAAACUUGACCAACCAUCUGAACACAGGAUGGCAGAGAAGGAGGCCAAUUCACUGCUUGUUUCUACAUCUUUAUUGAGACUCGACUGCUGGACACAUGCCAGGCCCCCAGGGGACAACAGUGAAUACAAUAGCAUGUCCCUGACUCAGUGGAAUGACCUGACUUGGUGGUACUUAUGAAGCAAACCAAAACUUCAACUGUUAUGGCUUUAAUUAUAACUUCAAUAAAUUCAUAUGCAAAUAUCAAAUUA
This is a long non-coding RNA of Suricata suricatta (meerkat), 575 nucleotides long. RefSeq lists it as uncharacterized. The transcript has 2 exons. The record is from RefSeq and is a predicted model, not a curated record. NCBI's taxonomy places the organism in Eukaryota, Metazoa, Chordata, Mammalia, Carnivora, Herpestidae.